UACGUAGGGUGCAAGCGCUGUCCGGAAUUAUUGGGCGUAAAGAGCUCGUAGGCGGUUUGUCGCGUCUGCUGGGAAAACUCAGGGCUUAACCCUGAGACUGCAGUGGGUACGGGCAGACUAGAGUGUGGUAGGGGAGGUCGGAAUUCCUGGUGUAGCGGUGGAAUGCGCAGAUAUCAGGAGGAACACCGGUGGCGAAGGCGGAUCUCUGGGCCAUAACUGACGCUGAGGUGCGAAAGCGUGGGGAGCAAACAGG
Molecule: ribosomal RNA, 253 nt
Filed under: uncultured bacterium
Lineage: Bacteria
Description: partial 16S ribosomal RNA
Rfam family: Bacterial small subunit ribosomal RNA
Source: RNAcentral